This 1451-nucleotide ribosomal RNA is filed under the name uncultured bacterium. Its description in RNAcentral is "bacterial SSU rRNA". It matches the Rfam family "Bacterial small subunit ribosomal RNA". The record is from RNAcentral.
GAUUGAACGCUGGCGGCAGGCCUAACACAUGCAAGUCGAACGGUAACAGGAAGCAGCUUGCUGCUUCGCUGACGAGUGGCGGACGGGUGAGUAAUGUCUGGGAAACUGCCUGAUGGAGGGGGAUAACUACUGGAAACGGUGGCUAAUACCGCAUAACGUCGCAAGACCAAAGAGGGGGACCUUCGGGCCUCUUGCCAUCAGAUGUGCCCAGAUGGGAUUAGCUUGUUGGUGAGGUAACGGCUCACCAAGGCGACGAUCCCUAGCUGGUCUGAGAGGAUGACCAGCCACACUGGAACUGAGACACGGUCCAGACUCCUACGGGAGGCAGCAGUGGGGAAUAUUGCACAAUGGGCGCAAGCCUGAUGCAGCCAUGCCGCGUGUAUGAAGAAGGCCUUCGGGUUGUAAAGUACUUUCAGCGGGGAGGAAGGUGUUGUGGUUAAUAACCGCAGCAAUUGACGUUACCCGCAGAAGAAGCACCGGCUAACUCCGUGCCAGCAGCCGCGGUAAUACGGAGGGUGCAAGCGCUAAUCGGAAUUACUGGGCGUAAAGCGCACGCAGGCGGUCUGUCAAGUCGGAUGUGAAAUCCCCGGGCUCAACCUGGGAACUGCAUUCGAAACUGGCAGGCUUGAGUCUUGUAGAGGGGGGUAGAAUUCCAGGUGUAGCGGUGAAAUGCGUAGAGAUCUGGAGGAAUACCGGUGGCGAAGGCGGCCCCCUGGACAAAGACUGACGCUCAGGUGCGAAAGCGUGGGGAGCAAACAGGAUUAGAUACCCUGGUAGUCCACGCCGUAAACGAUGUCUACUUGGAGGUUGUGCCCUUGAGGCGUGGCUUCCGGAGCUAACGCGUUAAGUAGACCGCCUGGGGAGUACGGCCGCAAGGUUAAAACUCAAAUGAAUUGACGGGGGCCCGCACAAGCGGUGGAGCAUGUGGUUUAAUUCGAUGCAACGCGAAGAACCUUACCUGGUCUUGACAUCCACAGAAGAAUCCAGAGAUGGAUUUGUGCCUUCGGGAACUGUGAGACAGGUGCUGCAUGGCUGUCGUCAGCUCGUGUUGUGAAAUGUUGGGUUAAGUCCCGCAACGAGCGCAACCCUUAUCCUUUGUUGCCAGCGAUUAGGUCGGGAACUCAAAGGAGACUGCCAGUGAUAAACUGGAGGAAGGUGGGGAUGACGUCAAGUCAUCAUGGCCCUUACGACCAGGGCUACACACGUGCUACAAUGGCGCAUACAAAGAGAAGCGACCUCGCGAGAGCAAGCGGACCUCAUAAAGUGCGUCGUAGUCCGGAUUGGAGUCUGCAACUCGACUCCAUGAAGUCGGAAUCGCUAGUAAUCGUGGAUCAGAAUGCCACGGUGAAUACGUUCCCGGGCCUUGUACACACCGCCCGUCACACCAUGGGAGUGGGUUGCAAAAGAAGUAGGUAGCUUAACCUUCGGGAGGGCGCUUACCACUUUGUGAU